CGUGCGUGGACCCCCGUGCGUGCACUGACGGCUCCUCAUGCUCUGUGUCGAGUGAGUCCGGCACAGUGCCUACCAGUGGUUUGGAGUCUGUCGGCCCAGGUCACCGUUCCGGCCUUUCCUUCCUUUGCUUCUCCUCUUGCCGGCUUCGUAACUUGGCACAGCGCCUCUCCUCAGGCUUCAGAGUCUGUGUCCGUGAGGAGGGUGACCUCUGUGCCUCGUUACAGGGCCGCGUGAACAGCCGAUGGGUGUGUACACGUAGAGCGUGGUAGGAAUCAGGCGUCGGGCUCUCAUCUGUUACUGCGGUAGCAUCACAUGUGCUUGGGCGUGUGCGUCGUUCUGUGACCACGUGUCGUGCAUGCAGAAAUACCGGGGUAAGUCCUGGGGCUGGCGGAGGAAAGGGCGCUUUCCCGAGACUUGGCCCCUUUGCUCUCCGAAUGCCCCUGAGAUGACAGGUUCUGUAAUGGGAGGCUGCCGCCAUGUGACGGAAGCAGGGAAGGGUCUCUAGUCGUGCUUGCAGAAGCCUGUGGUGAGCGACGGUGGCGCUGAAGCCCCGGAGAUGUGGUGGCGGCUUCUCUGUUAAGUCCUGGGAGUGGAAAUCGUCCCAGAUGCUUACCACUGACUUGAGUGCAUUUACUUCCCACUGGUGUGGGUGUGAGCCUGGCCGGCAGUAGCAAACUGUAGUUGUGUUCGUGGAAACUUAGAGGAGAUAGGUCUUCAGGGGUCACACAGCAUGAUUACCUAGGGGCGAUCUGACGUUUACCCAGGUGGGACCGCGCGACGGGUAAGCAGCAGGUGCACACGCUGUCCUGGUGAAGCCAUCGGCCGUCGGGAGCAAGCUGGAGCGCACCUUUCGUCUUUGUCUCUUGGCUUGGGUCCCUCUGCGACUUGCCUGUGAUUGCAGCAUUAGCCACACACAGCCACGUAUUCUCUUCCUUCUGUGUGUCUGAGCGCAAAGACCGCGCCUCCGCAUGCUGGGAAUUGCCGGGAUGAUUCCCAUUCCUCCGGCUCCAUCUUGGCAUUGCACCUGGAGGCUGGCGGAUGGGUCCAGCGUUCUCUCCGCCGUUGCUCAGCUUACGGUGUCUGAACGUGAAAGCACAGUGUUUUGAACUGUCUGGGAAUUCUACUCACCAGGGUCAUGUUUUCACUCCCUCACCUACUUUAAUCUACUGGGACUUCGUAUUUCCUAGGAAGGUGUUAAUGGUGAGGAAGGCUGACGUGGUUAAUAAGGGAACGCAAGCCAAACCAGCAGUGAGGAAUGGCUUUUACCCAUCAAGCCGGGAGCAGCUUUAAGGUUGACAACAGCAUCAGCCUUGGUGUGCGGAAGCGGGGCUGCCGGGAGGCGGCCUUCCCCGCAGCCAGAAGCACAGGGUUUGAGGCGCCUGGGUCUGCCCCACAGCUGUGCCUCGGACCGCCCGCCUCUGUUCUCUCCGCUCUUGCCUGUGCACGGGGAUGAUGGGCACACCUGUCUCCCAGCGUUGCCGGGAGAAAUACUUAACAUACAUAAAAUGCUUGGAGCAGCAUCCUGCAUGAAACAGUGCAACACGAGUGUCAGGUGAAUCAAAGCACGGUACUUCUGGACGAUACAGUGUUAUUUAGGCUGCACUAAAAUCCUAAGCGCAUAUGCUCUCUGGUUCUUCAGUUCCUUUUCUGGACGUGUGUCUCACAGUAAUAUUUCUUCUUAACGUAAAAGUGAAAUAAAACAAAUGAUUGUAUGUCCUUGUUCCCGAAUACCGUCCACAGUUAGGAUGGGUCAGUUCACUGGUGUGUGCGGUGUGCGUCCUGCGUGGGUCCCGCACGUGCGCACGGCAGGACCCACACGAUCCGCUGGGGGGCGGCCGAGUCGCAGAGACUGUGCCUGUCGUGCUUCUGCUUUUCUUUGAGUGCAGAUGGGUUUGUGCGUGCACACGCUUCCGGAAGUGCACCUGGGAGGGUCUCUGGUGGCGGCUGCCUGUGAGGCAGGGGUGGGUGGGGCGAGGAUGCACACAUGCUCUUGCGUUCGCUGUGACUUCUGUUGCUGCGCUUGACUCGUUCACAGGAAAGACUUGCUCGUGCUUCACACACAUCACUGGUUCUAAAGUUUCCUCAGAAGAACAGUGUGCAGUGGACUAAGGAGAGCUGGUGUCUGAGGCCAGAGGCGGGGGAGAUGUUGGGAAAGGGGACGGGCUGGUGUCCACGCCUGGGCAGGGGCUGUGCCGUGGGUCUGGGUUAAGCCCCACAGGGACGCCGCCGACUGGGUUAACAUCCCCGUGCCUCCACUUCUGGUCUGUCAAGGGGAGGAUGGUGGUACCCGGCAGGGUUGUGUGUUGCUGAGCCCAUGUGUGCAGAGAUCUCGGGACAGCUGAGCCCGCAGAGACGUCAGCGGAGGACAGCUCUGUCAUCGGAGGCGGGGCUGUCUGCAGAGCUGUUCCUGCAGGGCUGCUGAGACGGUGAACGGGAAGGCCUUGUCCGGCAAGGUGGCUGACGAUCCAAGGGUCGUGUCCCAGGGCCUCACAUGCUUCUGUUCUUACUUUUUGAGUCUCCUUUGCCUGCAAAGGAAAGAAUCCGGGCGUCUGAGUGUUUUCUGACCAGCGAGGGACUCUAUUAAAUGCAAGCGCAUAGCAGCAGAUCUAAGUAAUGCGAGAUGGGCGUCCUUGGUUCACAUUUUACGUGAGUCUGCCCAGUUUUCCAUAGUAUCUUUGUAAACGUAACUGAAGACCCUGGUAGCAAAUGCAGUCCAGAAGUGGCCCAGUGAGUCUUGUUCCUUGCCUGCUGUUCUUGAACGUAGGGAAGCAGGGCCUGUCACUGAGACGGCAGAACGUGCAUCCUUGAAUCGUAGACGAGCUUUCCCUCCCAGAGCUCGUGGGCAGCACGUCUUGGUCGCCGCCUGGCCCUUACUUGGGCCAAGUCACGGCCACGCCUGCAUUUUGCUUCCGUGUGGCUUUCCACAACAAAAUACGUGCGCCUUUGAACCCUGCUGUUCGCUGUGUCUGUGUCCCGGGGCUGUUAGAAGUGCCUCAGGCUGGGGGCCAUGGAAACAGGGAAGCUGUUGCCUCGGGGUCUCGGGCUGUUUGCAGGCGGUGCCUGGAAGAGUGUGUGCUCCAGGCCUUCCUGCUGCUGGCGCCCCAUCUGUGCCUCCGUGGCUGGAGACGUGGCACCGUGUGGCCACUGCAUCACAUGCCAUCUCUGUCUCUUUCUCUCAUAAGGACACUGGUCACUGGAUUAGGGGCCCAUCGCACUCUGUCCAGCGUGACAUCUUCUCAACCAACGACCUCUACAAAGACUCUCUUUCACAUUAAUAAGGUCACAGUCGAGGUCCUGGGACCAAGACCAGUCAUAGGUUUUGGGGACACAACCCACAGCGGGUACCAAGCCUCCUGAUUCCUGACUGUCAUGUCGUGUUUUGCAGAGGACAGAAGUGCGGGGUCGGGAGUCCUGGUGGCACAGGGCUCCCGCGGGGCUCCUCCUUUCACUUUAGAGAGCCAGUUAGGUUCCAGUGUCCAGGGCUCUUUUCCAAGUACCUCCACACGGACCUUCUAACUUGGGCAGAGUUUUCUUCUGUGUCUGGUUGGUUCUACCUUUUUGAUUUUUAGCAGAUGGAACAAUUCAAUUUCCAGACUUUCUUAUGCUUUCUUUUUGUUAUUAUUUAUUUUUAGUUUUUAUUUGAGAUAUAAUCGACAUGUAGCAUAGGCUUCUUUUUAAAACACCCCAGUUACUCGAUUCAGAUGAGACCUCCUUUUGCACAUUUUAACUUUUAUGUUUCCCUGUUUACAUUUUUAGGUUCAUUAUAAAUCUUGACACUAUUUUAAAGCCGAACAGCAAACUUCUGUUUAUUGUCCAACUGUUAGAUUGUAAAGCAAUGCUACACAUGCGUGCAUAGAAAAUUACAGGAACAAGCGUGGUGUUCACCUAAAUCGUGCUGUCACGUAGCUCAUAGCUCACGUGCAAGGGUCUUUGGGUACGGGGAUAAAAUCAUGAUCUUGGAACUAUUUCAUCUGUUCAGUAGUUGACAGACUGCCUCUCCAGGGGAAAGGAUGCACCACUGAACAGAAAGAAACCCACUUGCCCUCAGGAAGCUGAGGCUGAUGGGCGAGGCACCUGCCGUGCGGACAGGAGUUGGGGGUGUGCUGUUUGAUGGGGUGAUGAGUCCUUGCAGAUCUGAGCUGCCCUGGAGGGCAGUGCGGGAGGAAGGUGCGGGGACGUCUGCUGCAAGAACACUGCAGGUAGAGAGGUGAGAGCAGGUGCAGAAACCCCCAGGCGGGAGAGGGCUGGGUCCCGGAGAAACGGCUGGGGGCUGGCGCGGAGUGAGCGGGAGGCGUGGGGCUCACGGGCCAUGGAGGAGAUAGAGGCAGUGAACCUGUACUUCUUCCCCUGACCCUACAACAUCCUACAAAACGCUGCUCAGCCAAAAACUUCCCUAAGAGCUGGUCAUCCAGCACGGUGUAGCAUGACUCUCAUUUCAGAUUCUUAACCACGGCAUGCGUCCAUGCGGGGCAUGUCUGAGCUCGGACCCUUACCCGCGGUGUGUGGCUGGACGUCCGAGCUCAGAUCGUUACCCGCGGUGCACGUCCGCACCGGGCACGUCCAAACUCAGAUCCUUACCGAUGGCAUGCGUCCGCAUUGGGCACGUCCAAACUCAGAUCCUUACCCACAGCGUGUGUCCGCACGGGGCACGUCUGAACUCGAGGUGGGAGCAGCAGAAUCUCCGAUUCUGCUUCCUGCCGUCAUCGGUUCUUGGAGACCUUGUUCUCCCCAUUAGUCGCUUCCCUCGCUGGAAAAUCUGACCCGGAGAGAGACGGGCAGAGAAGGAAUCAGACGGUCUUCUUGCUGACUGCAGGCCUUCACGCCUCUAUCCCGGAAACCCGCAGGCCGACGGAUGACAGCAACCAGCCCCCGGGCCGGGGCGUCCUCUCCAUGCACGGGCUGACCUACGGCGUCAUCCGGGUAGACUCCGAGGAAAAGCUGUCUGUGCUCACCGUGCAGGACGUCGGCCUCGUGAUGCCUGGAGCCAUCAUGUGUUCAGUGAAGCCGGAUGGCGUCCCUCAGCUGUGUAGGACAGAUGAGAUUGGGGAGCUCUGCGUGUGUGCCAUUGCGACGGGCACGUCCUAUUACGGCCUGUCGGGCAUGACCAAGAACACCUUCGAGGUAGGUUUGCAGGGGUGCGCUCCCUCCAGGUGUGCUCUGCGGGUGAUCCUUAGAGGUGCACAGACACGAAAGAGAAGGUUUUGUUUU
RNA transcript from Ailuropoda melanoleuca (giant panda), 5208 nucleotides. It is a transcript of the gene named disco-interacting protein 2 homolog C-like, with no coding region annotated. The transcript has 3 exons. The record is from RefSeq and is a predicted model, not a curated record. NCBI's taxonomy places the organism in Eukaryota, Metazoa, Chordata, Mammalia, Carnivora, Ursidae.